CUGUGUUGACGAGUUGAAGGGUCAACUCAUAACCACAUACGGGAUUUUUACUAUUUAAGUUGGGGGUAUUCUGGACAUUUUUCCUCUUAACUCAUUUUGAUCCCAUGACAUAAAACAUCUUUUGGGACUUUAUUAACCCACUAUUCCCAAUCAAUCAUUAUUAAAAUCUCUCUCAAGUUCUUGGUUCAAGAAAAGGCUAGGGUUUCUACA
RNAcentral lists this long non-coding RNA (210 nucleotides) under Capsicum annuum. RNAcentral's name for it is "long non-coding RNA (CANN_LNC004588)". The record is from RNAcentral. Lineage: Eukaryota; Viridiplantae; Streptophyta; Magnoliopsida; Solanales; Solanaceae.